AAGAACCUGAAACCGUGUACGUACAAGCAGUGGGAGCACCCUUUGGGUGUGACUGCGUACCUUUUGUAUAAUGGGUCAGCGACUUAUAUUCUGUAGCAAGGUUAACCGAAUAGGGGAGCCGGAGGGAAACCGAGUCUUAAUUGGGCGUUAAGUUGCAGGGUAUAGACCCGAAACCCGGUGAUCUAGCCAUGGGCAGGUUGAAGGUUGGGUAACACUAACUGGAGGACCGAACCGACUAAUGUUGAAAAAUUAGCGGAUGACCUGUGGCUGGGGGUGAAAGGCCAAUCAAACCGGGAGAUAGCUGGUUCUCCCCGAAAGCUAUUUAGGUAGCGCCUCGUGAAUUCAUCUCCGGGGGUAGAGCACUGUUUCGGCUAGGGGGCCAUCCCGGCUUACCAACCCGAUGCAAACUGCGAAUACCGGAGAAUGUUAUCACGGGAGACACACGGCGGGUGCUAACGUCCGUCGUGAAGAGGGAAACAACCCAGACCGCCAGCUAAGGUCCCAAAGUCAUGGUUAAGUGGGAAACGAUGUGGGAAGGCCCAGACAGCCAGGAUGUUGGCUUAGAAGCAGCCAUCAUUUAAAGAAAGCGUAAUAGCUCACUGGUCGAGUCGGCCUGCGCGGAAGAUGUAACGGGGCUAAACCAUGCACCGAAGCUGCGGCAGCGACACUGUGUGUUGUUGGGUAGGGGAGCGUUCUGUAAGCCUGUGAAGGUGUGUCGUGAGGC
RNAcentral lists this ribosomal RNA (724 nucleotides) under Salmonella enterica subsp. enterica serovar Enteritidis. RNAcentral describes it as "partial 23S ribosomal RNA". It matches the Rfam family "Bacterial large subunit ribosomal RNA", at positions 544 to 1269 of the family's 2925-position model. Lineage: Bacteria; Pseudomonadati; Pseudomonadota; Gammaproteobacteria; Enterobacterales; Enterobacteriaceae. The record is from RNAcentral.